CGACUUGUCGUAAAACCUCCCAGGGGCGCACACUUCUGUGGGAGAGAGGCUCGCAGACCAGAGGGAAGCAUCCGAGAGGGGUCCCAGGGCCCUUUGGACGUGUGCCAAGGCUGGAAGUCCUGAGGUCUCUGGAGGGCAAUCUUCAAUUUCUUCACACAGAGAAAAAUAUCUAAAUAAGGUCAGCGUUAAAUAAUAUUGUUCUUCAAUGGUGUGUUAGUCAUCUUUUUGUCACUAUGAUUAAAAUACCCAACAAGAACAACUUAGAGGUGAAAGGUUUAUUUUGGCUCAUGGUUUUUUAGAGGUUCAGUUCACGGUUGGCCAACUUCAUCCCUCUGGGCUUGAAGUCAGGCACAGCAUCAUGGCGGAAGGGCAUGAGGAAGGAAAGCUGCUCAGGUUAUGUAGUUGAGAAGGACAGAGAGGGAGAGAGAGACAGACAGACAGAUAGGGAGAAACCAGAGACAAGACACAGUGCCCAAAAGUAUGUCCCCAGUGACUCACUUCCUCCAGCCAUGCCCACCUGCCCACAAUUACCACCCAGUGGUCCAUUCAAAGUAUUAAUCCAUCAAAUGGAUUAAUCCACUGAUGAGGUUACAACUGAGAAUCUGAUCAUUUCACCUGUGAACAUUCCACCCUGGAUAUCUUGUUUCUAACACAUGAACUUUUAUGGGAGGGGACACUUUAUAUCCAAACCAUAAGGUUCUUUGUUCUGAGCAACAACGUAAAGGGUAAAAGAAUAGAUGUGCACCAACCCCCUAGCAGCAAAAUUGGCUCUUGCCUGUUCAAAGUUAAGUUUCAGGCAGCACGUCCCCUGUUGUGGCUCCAGGACCAGUAGCACCUGUCGCUCUACACUUCUCAGGAAUAGAAAUUCUCAGCCACCUCCCCAGACUUGAUGCAUCAGAAACCCCGGGGAAAGGACCCAGGAGCAGGUGCUGAGCAAGUCCUACGGGCGAUUCUGGUGCAGGUUCUAGUUUGAUGACCACCGAUUCCAUAUUCACUAUGCAAAAGACCACCAGGUGUCUGAAUAUAAGCCAGCAAUAGGGUGUUGCUUACGGAGGAGAGUACGGAGGAGAGAGGUGAACCACCAGGACUCUGGAGCUCAUAAACCAUAUUCCUACCUUCAGGAAAGGGAGUGAUGUGGACACAAAUAAUUUUUUUUUUCCAGCUGAGGCCGAUUGACAUCAAAGCCAUAAAAAACAACUCAGUGUCACAGAAAGGUAAAAUAAACCCACUUAGAUUACCAUUUUCCUUCUUUACAAUAUGAAAUACAGCAUAUUUACUUUUCUUUGUCUUUUUCAGUUAACAUAAAACAAAGCCAGGAAAAAUAGCACUGUUUUCUAUUGUAGUUUAAAAGGAUCCCAGAUUCUACAGCAGAACUCAUUUCCUUAAAGGGCAAAGACUUUCAGGACACCCCUUUUGUACCUAACUCACUCCUUAAAGAAGUCAAAAAGUCCAUAAAGGCAAAAGGAAAAAGUUGCAAAAAUAGCCCAGGAAGAAAUAUAAAUGAGAGACAGAGAAAAAGAUAGGAAUAUAUAGUUGGCCUCUGCAUCGGCAGCUCAGCACCCGUGAUUAUACAAACCAUGGAUGGAAAAUUGUUUGUUUGUUUUUUAAUUGCAUCUGCUUCGAGCAUUUACUGACCUCUUUUUUCUUGUUGUUAUUCCCCAAACAAUACAGUAUAAGAAUUAUUUGCAUAGCAUUUCCAUAGUAGUAGGUAUUAUAAGCCAUCGAGAGGUGAUUUAAUGAUACAGGAGCAUGUACAUAGGUCCUACGCAAGCACUGUGCUGUUUUAAUAAGAGUCUCUGAGGAUUUUGGUAUCCUCAGUGACUGUACGUAGAGAGGAACACAUCACAGUGUCAACAGAAGAAAAUUACAGGGGUUAAAAAGCAAAAGGAUGAUACCUGAGACACAAGGAACUGAAGUGAUUCACAAACUAGAUGAGUAAGGCUCAUGAACUUCAAGUCCCAUCACCUAGCUACUAAGAGACAAAGCUUUUCACAUCUGGAAUCCCAGAAACUCUGGAGGCUGAGGCAGGAGGAUCAUGAGUUUGAGGCCAGCCUCAGCAACUUAGAGAAACCCUGUCUCUGAAAACAAAAAGAUAAAAAUAAAUUCCCGGUUCCCCAAACAAUCAAGCAAGCAAAGAAACAAAAGAAAACUUUUCCUUUAAAAAAAUUAAAUUCAUGAAAAUCUUUGUCCCCAAAUUCUGGCCAAGUAUCAAGAACCAAGAACUAGACUCUUAAGGACAUGGGAUUCUCUCUAAUGGAGGGGACACCUUUGUUCCAGAAGAGAUACUAGGAUCUGUGUGCUGAGCUGCUUGCAAGGCAGUGAGCACUUGGGACAGGGUACCCAAGCCAAGGAGGAUGGGUACCUGUGAUGAAUGGGGCAGAUUCUUGUUAUCAAGAGAAGAGAGGAAAAGGGAGAUUUGGGUUCUUUAAAAAUUUUCCACUUUGCUGAGAAUAUCUUUGAGUUUUAAUUCACAGCAACUGCUUCACAGAUAUGGAAACAUGGCUCAAUGGAGCAAGGUCUGUGAAUUCUCACCCUAAACCACAAUCCACCGCUCACUUCUCAACCAGUCAGUAUCCUGUUUCAUGCUUGGUUCCAUUUCUGAAAUAAGAAUAUAUAUAUCCUAACAUUACAGAGUGCAUGAUAAUUAAGAAAAGCGGACCUGAGAACUUAGAGAGGCGAAGGCUUAGUAGGUACAUUUUAGAAUUCAUGAAGAGUGUUCUGUAGCAAUAACUGAAUCCUUCAAGAGCCAUUGUAGGCAGGGUUGGCCCAAGGGAAAAUACGAUCUGACCCAAACGACAGGAGACAAGCACCCACUCCCAAGGAGGGAACGGCUUAUUCAAGAAAAGACAUCUGAAAGCAUAAACUACCUCGACACACAAAAAGAGACCUCUCAGGCACGUCUUCAGAGUCACAGAAUUACUUACUUCCAGGUAAGGUCAGUUCUUCCAAUUAACACUUCCAUUCAGGAAAACACGAGUCUUCCACUUGGUAUAGCUAGGGGCUGGACAUUCAUUUUGUCAUCUCAGGCAAGAAAUGAGAAAGAACAGUAAGAACUGGGGAUAUAUAGCUCAAUUGGUAGAGUGCUUGCCUCACAUGCACAAGGCCCUGGGUUCAAUCCCCAGCACCACACACAUACAAAAAAAUGUGGUUUAAGAAAGAACAGUAAAGAAAGAGCCACACCCUCAUCCCCACUGGCUUUCAUCAAUCGGUAGGUUGGAGUGUCCAGUAAUGUGUCUGACAAUAUAUUUGGUGGGUGAGAGAGGUUACAGUCCAUCUUACAGGAAGUUCCAAGCUUCUUAGGCUUGUCUGCACUCAUCUUUCCUUGGAUCUGAAGCAUCAUAUCAUUAAUGUAUGAGUAAGCGUCAUACCAGGAAAACAAGUUGAGGAAUUAAGCUUUUUGCUCAAAGACAGCAUUACAGAGGAAGUCAAGGGAUAGUGGGAAAUCACAUGGAAAUAUUUGUUUUCUGUACAUAGGUUCAGACACAAGUUAUCCCCACAAGGGCAUAAUCUGUCUUUCAAUCUGUAGGUGGAAAAUCCUUCUCUGCCUUCCCUUGAGAGGAGGAGAACUGGAUUUGAACAUAUCUCUCUUUGGUGCACGUGGUACCUCCCUUGCACUUCUUCAAAGCUAAGAGCGCUGGGACAACGAGGAGAUGCUUUCCCUUGGGUAACACUAUCACAUCAAGCAUGAUCUCUCUUGAAUCAACAGAGUUCAUAAGGAUCAUUCUCGUAUCAGGACAGCUAAAUGGACAAAUAAUAUCUAGGCUUCCAUGCAAGAAUGUUUGAUCAAUAAAACACUGGAAUUAGGGCAUUUUCCAUUAAUCAAAUUGCUUCACCAUUAAAAAGCCGAUCUAGGAAUGAGGUAAAAUUUCACGUGGCUGCCAAUGACUUGUUACCCAGUGAUGACCUUGGGUCAAGACGGAGAGAGCAUAUCCUGGGCUGACUUAGGCAGGACUUCAAAGCUGUGAUAUGAUGAAGCUAAAAGAAAAGGGACCCAAGUAGCCCAUGAAUAGUGUCCUCGAUCCUGGCAUUUGGAGAGCCUUCUCCACUCAAGGUAAAUACAAGGUUGAUUGCACCGUUUGAUUUCCAGCAUACCACGUCUCUGGUAUUUAUGAGUACAGUCUGAAAGAAUGAAAAGAGUGCAAAAGACAGAGGAGGCCAUCCAGUUCCUAAGCACCUUUGUACACAAGAGAAAAAAGAAGUGGUAGUAAGUGCGCUUGUGCCAAAUUCCACCAUGAAGACACGUUCCUCUUUUGGAGAUCACAUUCUUUUCUUGCUUGAUAAGAAUCAGGAGAACUGACGGUUAUCGAAUGCCUACUACGAGCUAAGCAAUUUACAGACAUUCCUUGUUAACUUUUCACAACCAAGUCAAGGAAAUGCUGUUAUUGUAUCCAUUUUCAGAUUAAGAAACUGAAGUCAAGAAGAUUAAGGGGGGAAAAAAACCCCUUCAUUUGGUGGUACUGGACAGUUGGUGGCAGAUUUAAAUAUGUUGUGUACAACGACAAAACCAGAAUUCUUCCCAUUAUAUGUGGUUGUUCUAGCAAUGUCAACUGGGAGCUUUAAUGUCCCCUCUUGCUGCUGAUUAUCAAAAUGUAAUAAUUUUAUGCACCCCCCCCACACACACACACCCCACACAGACACACACCCCACACACAUACACAUUUGUGCUCAGCUCAGUGGUCAAGUGCAGGAACUCUGGAAUGAAACCCAAAUACUAACCCUGACUCUGCCCAGUGGACAAGGCACCCAGGCACUCUCUGACCCGGUUUCUAUUUUGUGAAAGUUAUACCAAUAGUGUUCAUAUCCUGGCUCAGGAACGGUGGUGUCUGGAGGAACACUGACUCAAUUUUAUAAAGGGAAGAGUUAUCCCAGUCUAGGAUUAAAAAUAAACCCAAUGAAGAUCUCCAAAUUGUCAUAUUGUCCUCUUGCAUUAGAAUAAAAAUUUACUAAAAUUUUAAGAGUAAAGUAAAAACUGGGGUUGUGAAUAUUUUAAACAUUAUGCAAAUAUUAGUCCUAACUGAUAUAUCAAUAAGGGUACAAUUUUUGAGUAAUAUUGUUUGUUCAGUGCUCCUGGAAAUGUUUAGACAAUGGAAAUUUAGUGCCAAGGAGGUCAAGAUUCAAAUGUAAGUCUACUUAUAGGACAGGUAGUUUUAUUUCUGCUCCAUGCCCAGGGAUUCCCUAAUCCCUAUAUAAUGAGUAUCAUGGGCCAUCCAGGCUCCCUGAAUUAGAAAAAAAAAUGUAUACUCUACAAAACACAUGACUUACUGAGAAUCAGGGAGUAGUUCAGUCAUGAACUGGAAUGUGAUCCUUUUAUUGUUGUGAUUAAAAAUUCUAAUUUGACACUGAUUCUCAGCAUUUACAAAGGACGGGGUUCUGACCCAUGGUGCAACGUGGAUAAACCUGGAGGAUUACCCUGUGUGAAAUAAGCCUCUCACCAAAGGACAAACACUGCAUGUUUUCACGUACAAGCGGUACCAGGACGCAUAAAACUCACAGAAACAGUACGUAGGGUGGUGAUUGUCAGGAUCUAAGGGAAGCGGACGGUGACAAGUUGUCUCACAGGUACAGAGUUUUACAAGAUGAAACAAAUCUAGAGAUCACUUACCCAGCGACAUCAGUGUCCUCCACAUGACAGACGUACACACGGUUAAGACGGUCAAUUUUAUGUUACAUGUAGUUUGCGACAAUUAAAGAUCUUUAAAAUACUGAUUUCAAUCAAACCAACUUGUGGCUGCCCUGGGGGCCACCAAUUAGUGGAAGGGUGUCCUGUUGUUACUGAUGUGUAAGAUCCGAAGGAAUUAUCUAUGCCUCUCCCUGUCAGCAGCCAGUCUGGGUGAUGUGCUGCAGAUGUGGUCUCUGCUCCCCAAUCCAAACAAGAGUCUAGGCCACCCACCCUUGGCCUUUGGUUCUGUCCUCGGGGAGCUGCAAAUCUGACCCUUGAAAGAAGGGCUAUGUGUGGGGAACAUACAUGUGUGCACCCCAAGGGGGCUGCCCUGAUGGACCCCUUUGCCUACAGGCAUCUGGAUGGGCAUGAUAAAGUCUGCUGCACAGGGCAGUUGUACUGAAUCUCACGGUUGUCAGAUGUGGUGUUUUUGUUCCUGAUGACAUUGUUGGAGCUCUAGGCUGCAUCCCAGCUGUCAGUUUUAGCAUCCAUGUAUUUUCCUGGUAUGCAAAUGUCAACUUUGCAGUUUAUAACUCUGGCCAUUCCUCCAAGCAGGAAAUGACUGAGCCCUUUGGUGAGUGGAAUUUAUUUAGAUUUCUGGUUUCAACGCCUCAGGUUAAAAUUGCUGCCAAUUAAUUCUUCUAAGGUAUGUUUGAACUUCACAAGUGUAUGGAUUGAAUAUCUAUGAUUUUUUUUCUAGGUUGGAGAAAGGAGGAGAGAAGACAAACAUCUUGAGUUUCAACACAAAUGAGAGCCACAAUCCAGUCCAGCAUACUAGUUAAUUAACAAAUGAUUAUUCUCCAAAAUAGUAACAUAGUGCAAAAGGAAUCUUCUUAUUUAAUAAUAAUUAUUGCUUUAUUGACACUUUAGCAUUAAUUCUUUGUUCUCCCCUCUAUAGCCACUCAAAUAUUUCCCCAUGCACAUACAUGUUGAUGUGUGUGAGAUAAUGUGUGUGUUGUACCUAUUGCAGAGUAAAAAGAACGGUAAUUUGAAGUAACUACAGCGCUUGCCAUUGAAAGAGUAGAUAUUUUGCCCUGAUACCUAUGUCACCUGUUAUGACACUAUUAUUUUUAAAACACAGCUAUCAAACAGCUCAUAGUUCGCCACAGAAAUCAAAAUGCACAGUGACAGUCUUUAUCCUACAUGUCUCAUGAUUCAAAUCCUCACGAAAAGUAGAGGCCCCACUGAAGAUCAAGUGCCACCUGUUACUGGGAUGGGGCCAAGUGACCUCUGACCUGACUGUCACUAGGGAGUUUGGGUCACAUCUGUGAUUUCCAUCAACACCCACCACCUUCCAUGCAGAGCCCAGGGCAGAUGUUGGUGAAAUCAGGAAGCUGCUUUCAAAGGACAGAUGAAAGGAACACUGGGAUCAAACAGCUUAGCCCAGUGACUGAUUCUCUACGCACAGUUCUAAGAAAUGACCUGUCCUUGGCCUUUUAAAAUGUUACUUCCAGAAUCUCAACCUGUCAGGCAACUGGAGAGGAGCCACAGCAGGUGAGACCAUGGGAUGUGACCAGGGGGUCUGGACGGCAAAAACAAAGCCACUUCAGCCCCCAGGCUCGAAGCUACAGUAGGGACACUUCCAAGACUGGAGCCUUCGCUAGGAGAACCUGGGGGCUGCUUCUCAGGCAACAGAACUGCAGAAACCAGAAGUGCCCUUGGCAGGAAUGAUUUCAGUUUUAAUGAGAAGGGGAACAGGAGCUUCAAAUGGGGUUUCCCUUUUAGGUUCUACUGUGAACAGGUGUUGGCUUUACUCAAGGAAAAAUUUCACAGGGGUGAUUUCAUGCAUAACCAAGAGCAAUGAUGCUUUGUUGUUUUUGUUUGUUUGCUUACUUUAUAAGAUCAUUCCAGAGGCUUUGUACAUGCAUAUUAAGUGUUUGUGUGUGAGUGUGUGUGUGUCCAGUUGCACAAAGUCACCAAAAAGUCCUGGUAACCAUCUUCAGAGCCCAUUCACUGAUUUUCUUCUCCUUUAUGUUCUGUUUCACAAUCUGGGGAAGUGUGGCGUUCCCCCACUUCAACUCAUACAGUGUCCCUUUCAUUAUGUUAAUUUCUGUCCUUUCCAAGAUUAACAUUUGACCUGCCACCCCACUCAUGUUGGCCAAUGUUCCCAACCAACCAUGUGCCCUGAAUAACGGGAUGAGACAUGAGGACCUUGUCCAUCUUUCCUGAUAGCGUGGCUGUGUCUCUGGGAAUUGUGUGUCAUAACCAACUUGCUGGUCUCCGCCUUCACCAGAGCUUCACAAUAUCCUGUCUUUCCAAGAAUGCCAUCAGGGGGAAGGAAAAGUCAGCUCAGCUGAUUUCACCCAUUUUGCCUCCCCCUCCCCCAACCCACUCCUUGUCUUCCUUCUUUUUCAUCCCGCCCUUCAAUCUGCUGGAUUCUCUAAGAGGCUGCACUGUGUUGUUACGUUGCAGAUGGAUUAACGGACGGAUGAAUGGAUGAAUGGACUGACGGAUGGAGGUAUGGAUGGAUAUUUAUUCUAGGGGUGGGCUUCCCCAGAAGCCCUCUGAGAUAAGAAUUCACACGUAAAUAAGAAACUGGUAAAGGAAUAGAGAAGUGAAGGAAUAGAGAAAAGGGAAGUGAAGGCAACUAUUCAAAGAGAAUAGUCACCUAAGUUACCACUUAGCUAAAUCCCACUGGGGCAUUUGAUGCCCCAGACCAUGAUGAUCUGCCUGGCCACAGGCAGGCAGUGAAGGCAACCGAUCGUGGACUUGAACCCUGGAGACGGAGAGAUCUCAAGCUCAUCUCAGAGCCAUUGAAUCAGAAUGUAAAAUUUUAACAGAAUCCCCAAAUGAUCAAGUUUGUCAAGUACUGGGGUAGAAUGUCUCAGUUACAGAUUAAAGGACAAGAGAACUGUGCUAGGCGUCCAACUCCCCAUUUGACAUUAGUUGUGAGCUAUUUUUGAAGGUUCUGGCUUUUCGACAUGGCCUCUGUGUGGCCAGAGCAUUCAUGCUCCAGUGGCCAGAAAGAAAGUCCCCAAACAGAAAACAAAAGUUUUAGCAAAAAAGCAGCCUUCAGUCUGUAGAGUUACACUAUAAGUCCAGCUGUGUCCCGAUAAGUCAUGAAUCUGAUGUUUAAACUGAGGUUAUAGUGUAAUGGUGAUAACCAAAACCUUAAUACUGAUUGAAUGUUAAAGACACAUCAAAUAGAUGAAAGUAAGCAAGAUUCAAUCUAGGCUUAUAUUCUAAAUAGUCAGUUUACCUUAGCAGAGAAAUACAAUUAUCACAUUCACUUUAGAAGCCUUAAGAUAAAUAUAACAUUACUUUGUAGUUAUUUCAGCCGAUUUCAAGUAGACCAUGAAUGAGGUCAGGAAACAGGUUGCCUUGUUUCCUAGGCUUAUUGUUAGUCCUGGUAUUAGCUCUCGGGAGUGGUGGUAGCUACAUGACUGACAUCUUUCAUUGCCAUCACAAACCAUGCACUACAUUUAUUCUGGAGCACAUUCAAGAGCUGAAAUUAUAAUGGAAAAAAAGACUUGACUCCUAUUAUAAUGUUAAGCACUGGUAAAGACAUUUGGAUAGCAUCCAUAAAAAUCUAUGGCUAUUCCCAGACACAAUAAAGUAACUACACAAGAAAAGCAGUUUCCACCAAGAUGUUAGUUUUUAUAUACUUACAUUUCAAAAGUGUACCAAAGUGUUCUAUAGCAUACAAGGAAAAAUGGGUUUAUUAAAAAGGAAUUCAAGAUGUAUCCAAAGUUUCUAAAUCUGCUUAGAAAAAAAAUCAAAUAGCAAUUUAUUAGAAAUAUCAAAUUAAAAAUAUAAUUUUAAAGAUUUUUAUCCUUAGAUAAUAUGACUGUAGAAAAUGUGACUCCAGAACUUUCACACAUGAUAGAAUGUAUUAAUUUGUGAGCUAAGAUUGUAAAUCCAAUACUUGAACUUUAUUUAAUAUAAUGAAAAGUAAAAAUAAAUGAGCUAAGAUUGUAAGUCCAAUACUUGAACUUUAUUUAAU
Molecule: long non-coding RNA, 9602 nt
Filed under: Marmota monax (woodchuck)
Lineage: Eukaryota; Metazoa; Chordata; Mammalia; Rodentia; Sciuridae
Rfam family: tRNA (bases 3058-3127)
Source: RNAcentral